UAUCCUGUCUGAAUAUGGGGGGACCAUCCUCCAAGGCUAAAUACUCCUGACUGACCGAUAGUGAACCAGUACCGUGAGGGAAAGGCGAAAAGAACCCCGGCGAGGGGAGUGAAAAAGAACCUGAAACCGUGUACGUACAAGCAGUGGGAGCACAGAGCAAUCUGUGUGACUGCGUACCUUUUGUAUAAUGGGUCAGCGACUUAUAUUCUGUAGCAAGGUUAACCGAAUAGGGGAGCCGAAGGGAAACCGAGUCUUAACUGGGCGUUAAGUUGCAGGGUAUAGACCCGAAACCCGGUGAUCUAGCCAUGGGCAGGUUGAAGGUUGGGUAACACUAACUGGAGGACCGAACCGACUAAUGUUGAAAAAUUAGCGGAUGACUUGUGGCUGGGGGUGAAAGGCCAAUCAAACCGGGAGAUAGCUGGUUCUCCCCGAAAGCUAUUUAGGUAGCGCCUCGUGAAUUCAUCUCCGGGGGUAGAGCACUGUUUCGGCAAGGGGGUCAUCCCGACUUACCAACCCGAUGCAAACUGCGAAUACCGGAGAAUGUUAUCACGGGAGACACACGGCGGGUGCUAACGUCCGUCGUGAAGAGGGAAACAACCCAGACCGCCAGCUAAGGUCCCAAAGUCAUGGUUAAGUGGGAAACGAUGUGGGAAGGCCCAGACAGCCAGGAUGUUGGCUUAGAAGCAGCCAUCAUUUAAAGAAAGCGUAAUAGCUCACUGGUCGAGUCGGCCUGCGCGGAAGAUGUAACGGGGCUAAACCAUGCACCGAAGCUGCGGCAGCGACGCUGAUGCGUUGUUGGGUAGGGGAGCGUUCUGUAAGCCUGUGAAGG
RNAcentral lists this ribosomal RNA (829 nucleotides) under Escherichia coli. RNAcentral describes it as "partial 23S ribosomal RNA". It matches the Rfam family "Bacterial large subunit ribosomal RNA", at positions 430 to 1256 of the family's 2925-position model. Lineage: Bacteria; Pseudomonadati; Pseudomonadota; Gammaproteobacteria; Enterobacterales; Enterobacteriaceae. The record is from RNAcentral.